UUCAACAACGGAUCUCUUGGCUCUCGCAUCGAUGAAGAACGCAGCGAAAUGCGAUACGUAAUGUGAAUUGCAGAAUUCAGUGAAUCAUCGAAUCUUUGAACGCACCUUGCGCCCCUUGGCAUUCCGAGGGGCACACCCGUUUGAGUGUCGUGAAAUU
This 157-nucleotide ribosomal RNA is filed under the name Russula rosea. RNAcentral describes it as "5.8S ribosomal RNA". It matches the Rfam family "5.8S ribosomal RNA". Rfam says of the family: 5.8S ribosomal RNA (5.8S rRNA) is a component of the large subunit of the eukaryotic ribosome. It is transcribed by RNA polymerase I as part of the 45S precursor that also contains 18S and 28S rRNA. The record is from RNAcentral. Lineage: Eukaryota; Fungi; Basidiomycota; Agaricomycetes; Russulales; Russulaceae.